GUGCUCGCGUCGGCAGCACAUGCACUAACAUUGGAAUGACACAGGGAAGAUUAGCAUGGUCCCUGAGCAAGGAUGACACGCAAAUUCGUGAAGCGUUCCAUUAAAAA
Molecule: small nuclear RNA, 107 nt
Organism: Phyllostomus discolor (pale spear-nosed bat)
Lineage: Eukaryota; Metazoa; Chordata; Mammalia; Chiroptera; Phyllostomidae
Source: RefSeq, a predicted model, not a curated record